This 395-nucleotide ribosomal RNA is filed under the name uncultured Flavobacteriaceae bacterium. Its description in RNAcentral is "bacterial LSU rRNA". It matches the Rfam family "Bacterial large subunit ribosomal RNA", at positions 1 to 411 of the family's 2925-position model. Lineage: Bacteria; Pseudomonadati; Bacteroidota; Flavobacteriia; Flavobacteriales; Flavobacteriaceae. The record is from RNAcentral.
GAUAGGCUAAUUAAGAGCGUAAGGGGAAUGCCUUGGCUCUCAGAGGCGAAGAAGGACGUGAUAAGCUGCGAAAAGUUGCGGGGAGUGGCACAUACAUUAUAAUCCGCAAAUGUCCGAAUGGGGAAACCCGAUUAUUUGAAGAAUAAUCAUCCAUUUAUGGAAGCUAACCCGGAGAACUGAAACAUCUAAGUACCCGGAGGAAAAGAAAACAAUAGUGAUUCCGCUAGUAGUGGCGAGCGAACGCGGAAUAGCCCAAACCUAAAUUGUUUCGGCAAUUUAGGGGUUGUAGGACCACAAUAUUUAUUGCUUAAUGAAUUAGAAUCAGUUGGAAAUCUGAACCAUAGAGGGUGAUAGUCCCGUACAAGUAAAGAGAGUUAAUAAUAGUGGUAUCCUGA